CGUGAGAUGUGGUUAGUCCGCAACGAGCGGCAACCCUUGUCCUGUGUUGCUACCCCGCAAGGGGAGGACUCUCAGGAGACUGCCGUGGAUAACACGGAGGAAGGUGGGGACGACGUCAAGUCAUCAUGGCCUUUAUGUCCAGGGCUACACACGUGAUACAAUGGUGCAGACAGAAGGUUGCAAGACCGUAAGGUGGAGCCAAUCCCCAAACUGCACCCUAGUUCAGAUUGAGGGCUGCAAUUCGCCCUCAUGAAGCUGGAAUCGCUAGUAAUCGCAGAUCAGCAGGCUGCGGUGAAUACGUUCCCGGGCCUU
RNAcentral lists this ribosomal RNA (312 nucleotides) under uncultured bacterium. Its description in RNAcentral is "bacterial SSU rRNA". It matches the Rfam family "Bacterial small subunit ribosomal RNA", at positions 1066 to 1382 of the family's 1533-position model. The record is from RNAcentral.